This 1346-nucleotide ribosomal RNA is filed under the name uncultured bacterium. RNAcentral's name for it is "bacterial SSU rRNA". It matches the Rfam family "Bacterial small subunit ribosomal RNA", at positions 28 to 1381 of the family's 1533-position model. The record is from RNAcentral.
GACGAACGCUGGCGGCGUGCUUAACACAUGCAAGUCGAACGGAAAGGCCCUGCUUUUGUGGGGUGCUCGAGUGGCGAACGGGUGAGUAACACGUGAGUAACCUGCCCUUGACUUUGGGAUAACUUCAGGAAACUGGGGCUAAUACCGGAUAGGAGCUCCUGCUGCAUGGUGGGGGUUGGAAAGUUUCGGCGGUUGGGGAUGGACUCGCGGCUUAUCAGCUUGUUGGUGGGGUAGUGGCUUACCAAGGCUUUGACGGGUAGCCGGCCUGAGAGGGUGACCGGCCACAUUGGGACUGAGAUACGGCCCAGACUCCUACGGGAGGCAGCAGUGGGGAAUAUUGCACAAUGGGCGGAAGCCUGAUGCAGCAACGCCGCGUGCGGGAUGACGGCCUUCGGGUUGUAAACCGCUUUCGCCUGUGACGAAGCGUGAGUGACGGUAAUGGGUAAAGAAGCACCGGCUAACUACGUGCCAGCAGCCGCGGUGAUACGUAGGGUGCGAGCGUUGUCCGGAUUUAUUGGGCGUAAAGGGCUCGUGGGUGGUUGAUCGCGUCGGAAGUGUAAUCUUGGGGCUUAACCCUGAGCGUGCUUUCGAUACGGGUUGACUUGAGGAAGGUAGGGGAGAAUGGAAUUCCUGGUGGAGCGGUGGAAUGCGCAGAUAUCAGGAGGAACACCAGUGGCGAAGGCGGUUCUCUGGGCCUUUCCUGACGCUGAGGAGCGAAAGCGUGGGGAGCGAACAGGCUUAGAUACCCUGGUAGUCCACGCUGUAAACGGUGGGUACUAGGUGUGGGGUCCAUUCCACGGGUUCCGUGCCGUAGCUAACGCUUUAAGUACCCCGCCUGGGGAGUACGGCCGCAAGGCUAAAACUCAAAGGAAUUGACGGGGCCCCGCACAAGCGGCGGAGCAUGCGGAUUAAUUCGAUGCAACGCGUAGAACCUUACCUGGGUUUGACAUGGAUCGGGAGCGCUCAGAGAUGGGUGUGCCUCUUUUGGGGUCGGUUCACAGGUGGUGCAUGGCUGUCGUCAGCUCGUGUCGUGAGAUGUUGGGUUAAGUCCCGCAACGAGCGCAACCCUUGUUCACUGUUGCCAGCACGUUAUGGUGGGGACUCAGUGGAGACCGCCGGGGUCAACUCGGAGGAAGGUGGGGAUGACGUCAAGUCAUCAUGCCCCUUAUGUCCAGGGCUUCACGCAUGCUACAAUGGCUGGUACAGAGAGUGGCGAGCCUGUGAGGGUGAGCGAAUCUCGGAAAGCCGGUCUCAGUUCGGAUUGGGGUCUGCAACUCGACCUCAUGAAGUCGGAGUCGCUAGUAAUCGCAGAUCAGCAACGCUGCGGUGAAUACGUUCCCGGGGCU